RNAcentral lists this ribosomal RNA (301 nucleotides) under uncultured bacterium. RNAcentral's name for it is "partial 16S ribosomal RNA". It matches the Rfam family "Bacterial small subunit ribosomal RNA", at positions 509 to 807 of the family's 1533-position model. The record is from RNAcentral.
CAGUCGCCACGGGAAUACGGAGGGUGCAAGCGUUAAUCGGAAUUACUGGGCGUAAAGCGUGCGUAGGCGGUUCGUUAAGUCUGUUGUGAAAGCCCCGGGCUCAACCUGGGAAUGGCAAUGGAUACUGGCGAGCUAGAGUGUGUCAGAGGAUGGUGGAAUUCCCGGUGUAGCGGUGAAAUGCGUAGAGAUCGGGAGGAACAUCAGUGGCGAAGGCGGCCAUCUGGGACAACACUGACGCUGAGGCACGAAAGCGUGGGGAGCAAACAGGAUUAGAUACCCGGGUAGUCCCUGUCUCUUAUAC